ACGACUGGACAGAAGACAUAGAAGAUGACCCAGCAGAAGAAGAGGAACCUACCACUUCAGCCUCCAAGUCAAAGGGAAAAGACAAACUUGACGAUUUUAACCUGGGUGUUUCCUAUUCUGAUGAUACGUAUGCCGUGAUGGAAUACUCGGGCGAUACCAUUCAGCUGUACGAGUCCAUGGCCUCAGCUGGCACUCUCAAGACAUACAAUGACAUUACAACAGUUUCAGCAACUGACAAGGAAGGAGUAACUAGGUACAAGCCACUGGGAGCUGAGACCGAAGAGGACGCUGUUUACACCAGAAGCACCAGACAAAGUGUAAAACGAGAUGGCGAGGGCGCUGUGUCGGAUAAGUGAUCUGGAAACAGUUAGGGACAAUGGAAAUUACAAAAACUAAAAGGAAUAUGGUUUAUUGGACCAUUUCCCAUGUAUAGUUCAGUCUGAUUGCAAGAUAGAGAUCUAACUGAAACACUUGCCAGUUUACUUAGCACAAUA
Long non-coding RNA from Bolinopsis microptera, 494 nucleotides. RefSeq lists it as uncharacterized. The record is from RefSeq and is a predicted model, not a curated record. NCBI's taxonomy places the organism in Eukaryota, Metazoa, Ctenophora, Tentaculata, Lobata, Bolinopsidae. The transcript has 3 exons.